RNAcentral lists this long non-coding RNA (1378 nucleotides) under Rosa chinensis. RNAcentral describes it as "sRNA RchiOBHm_Chr2g0088541". Lineage: Eukaryota; Viridiplantae; Streptophyta; Magnoliopsida; Rosales; Rosaceae. The record is from RNAcentral.
UCUUCUGUUUUAUCACUUUAUUGGUUGCGGCGGAAUUGCAGCCAGAACAAAGUUGGGAGGAAAGAUCAAGUUUGUGAGGAAAGAACAGAGUUGGCGAAGACCAAUUCUUGAUAGAUCGUGUGGCGAAGACCAUUGAGCGAGAUUCUUCUUGGUCUCCGAAGGGUCCCUCCGAACAAGAAGAAUUAGAAGAACAGGCGAAGACCAAUUCUUGAUAGUUCAUGAGGCCAAGUCCAGUUUUCUUUCCUGUUAAGAUGGGUGUCCCUCCGUUUCAGGUUAUUCUUGAGUCUGCGAAACCCUAGUUCCCAAUUCAAUACCGAAUCCGGACAACAUCUUAGUAUUCAGCCCACAGAACUCAAAUUCCCCUAGAUUAAGGGACCAAACUCUGUCUCUGCCAAAAGUGAUAAAUGCAAAAUACUCUCUUAAAAGGAAGACAUUGUCGUCAAGUAAAGAAGGAACUGGUGUACGUUAUCCCAAAAUAUCAAACAGGAAAGCAGACUACCAAGUCCAAGGGAAUUAAAGUUUGACAAGAGGUUUAUGAAGGAGCCACCAACAGAUUUAUUCAGCAAGCUCUCACUUGCACCUGAAGCCCAUCAUAAUGCAAAACCUGAGCUUAAAACUGCCUAUGCCUGCUAAGAUCCUAAAUUUGUUCAAAAAUGUCGGACUGGUUCGGUGAAAAGUGACGGGAGGAUCCUUGAAAAAUAAGUAACUAACUACAUCAGCAAGUUAGUUAGUUUUCUAGAAAGUCAAAUAAUAGAGUUCAUUAUCUGUUUGUAAUUUUUCUUCCUCUUAUGGCCCCCAGACAUCAUUUUUCGCAUGAACAGGUGGAUGCUUUAAUUUCUUGACCUUCUGAUCUUGUGAGCUUAUUGCCAGGAGUCAUUUGUCUUGUGAGCAGUUUGGCACCUUUUUGUCAAAUUUUAAGGAAUUAAACGCCCACGAGCAAAGAAAAUUGAGCUCAGGACUCUGCAGAAGACUGAUGAGAUAUUUGGGACAGAGAAUAAGGACGUAUACACUAUAUUGGAGGAUUGAUCAGUCAAACGUCUAUAGAACCCUAUACCCCAUAUUCAUAUUGGAAAGGUUGCUAACAGUCCAUUGAACUUGUGGCAAUUGGAUUCUGUAAAUUUAAUCCAUUUUUCAUGUAAUUAAAUAUGAAUCUGCAAUAAGUCAAUUCUUUGAAUUCGUGUAUCUGUACAAGUAGCAACUCUGAGAAUGUUAGCAAAUGAAUUGUUCCGACUUAUUCACUAGCCUUGAGACUUCAGUUAAAGGUGGGAAAUUUCUUCUUGUAUCAGUUGUAUGGCUAAGAACCACGCUGGUUUCAUGUGAUAAGAGAACCACGCUUCAAUUGCUUGUCCGUUGAAUACCUGUUGUAAACUUGGACUGU